GACGAACGCUGGCGGCGUGCUUAACACAUGCAAGUCGAGCGGUAAGGCCCUUUCGGGGGUACACGAGCGGCGAACGGGUGAGUAACACGUGGGUGACCUGCCUUUAGCUCUGGGAUAAGCCUGGGAAACCGGGUCUAAUACCGGAUAUGACUCCGCGGCGCAUGUUGUGGGGUGGAAAGCCUUGUGCGGCUGGAGAUGGGCCCGCGGCCUAUCAGCUUGUUGGUGGGGUGAUGGCCUACCAAGGCGACGACGGGUAGCCGGCCUGAGAGGGCGACCGGCCACACUGGGACUGAGACACGGCCCAGACUCCUACGGGAGGCAGCAGUGGGGAAUCUUGCGCAAUGGGCGAAAGCCUGACGCAGCGACGCCGCGUGAGGGAUGACGGCCUCGG
This 391-nucleotide ribosomal RNA is filed under the name uncultured bacterium. RNAcentral describes it as "bacterial SSU rRNA". It matches the Rfam family "Bacterial small subunit ribosomal RNA", at positions 28 to 420 of the family's 1533-position model. The record is from RNAcentral.